This is a long non-coding RNA of Mastomys coucha (southern multimammate mouse), 602 nucleotides long. RefSeq lists it as uncharacterized. The record is from RefSeq and is a predicted model, not a curated record. NCBI's taxonomy places the organism in Eukaryota, Metazoa, Chordata, Mammalia, Rodentia, Muridae. The transcript has 2 exons.
CACGAGGGCGUGCAGAGUGUGCUCCUGCCGUCUUCGGUUUACUGAGGGUGCUACUCUGUUACGGCAGAAACCACCAGCCUGGCGUGCUUCUGAGUUGCAGAAUUUGACCAUCGCCCAAUCCCCGCCUGGGCCUGUCGCGGGAGCAAAAGUUGUGCACCGAUUGCGUUUUCAAGAACACGGGCAGAGAGAGACUGAUUGAAAUUUUGGAGUGCGAAUCCUUGAGAUGCUUCAGAGUGCCUUUGCUUUUACUAUCUGGAUCCAAUGAUCUCCGUAAAUUUAGUGUAAACGUUGCUUAAGAGGAGCUGGAGAGAUGGCUCUAGCCUUUAAAAGCGGUUGCUGCUAACUUUCAGAGGCCAGGUUUGGGUCCCAGCACCCGACUGCUAACCACCUUCUGUAACCUUCAGUAAGAGCAGUUCCCGCUUUCUUUUGGCCUCGGAUGGGGUCCAGCAUAAACCUGGUCCAGCUUAAACUCACGCCCCACCACACACACACAAUACAUCUUAAAACUGCUUAAGAUAGCUGUUCAUCAUAAAUCAAGGGGCGGUGGGGGUGGGACCAGUAGCUAACCUCUUAGAAUAAAAUAAAAUAAAAAGGUUAAAAUA